Non-coding RNA from Arachis ipaensis, 616 nucleotides. The record is from RefSeq and is a predicted model, not a curated record. NCBI's taxonomy places the organism in Eukaryota, Viridiplantae, Streptophyta, Magnoliopsida, Fabales, Fabaceae.
ACAUAGCUAUCUGUUGGUCUCAGGCAAUCUACUUGCCUUCAGUGUCUGCUGCAUAUCUUUCUUAAUUCUACUUAAUAUUCUUUUUAAGUUGGCUGUUGCUUCUUGACAUACUCUCAUCUCAAGUCAACAUUAACAUUUGGCUCAUUUUGAUAAUAUAUUGCUGUGUGAUUGCAUUAUUGGGCUUCCUGUAUGAGUGAGCUUUUCUGCUGAUGUGCUAACUUUUAUUUGUCUCUCCUAGUGUCCCAUCUUGUAUAGUUUAUGAUGAGGGUAAUGAUGAAAGAGACCUUCAGCUCCCUCUUUGUAAACAAAAAGCAGCACUACCAAACACCCGUGGUUCCACCAAUGACAUGGUGUUGAUCUUGGAACCUGCAAUUCGAAAAGUGUUACAAGAGAUGGUCCCUCCUUGAAGGUCCAGCUGUGUGUCCUGAAGGGUGAUUUUGAAAGUGAGGAUUGGACUGUUGAGGAAUUCAAUAGCAACAUAGAAAGUCCAAGAGAAAGAAAAGGAUCAUUACUCAAGGGAGACACGGCUAUUAUUUUCAAGAAUGUUAGCUGCUGCAAAGGCAGCUCAGGAGUCGAUUCACAAUGGCGCUCUUCUAUCAGAAGAAUACAUUAAAGU